Molecule: long non-coding RNA, 1526 nt
Filed under: Cyanistes caeruleus (blue tit)
Lineage: Eukaryota; Metazoa; Chordata; Aves; Passeriformes; Paridae
Description: lncRNA (ENSCCEG00000006964.1)
Source: RNAcentral
UCCACCCCCUCCCCUCCCCCCGACAUCCCAAUCCCAAAAAUCCCGGGAAUUCCGGGCUGACCCGGCGGAGCCGUGGAUUCUCCGUAUCCCUUCAUUUCCAGGGCGAUCACCCGGAAUCCGGCGUCGGCCAAGGCCGGGAUCUGCCGCGGGAAAAGAGCGGAAUUCCCGACGGAUCCUUGGGAAUUCCCUGGGGAAUUCCGGCUGGGAUUGAUCCUUUCCCACCCCCCCGCCUCCCCGGGGUGAAUUCCCGGGAUUUUGGGUCACCUGGAAGCGCCAGGAGAGCCAGGAUUCCGGGAAUCCGUGGCACAGGCAGAUGGCGGGGCCCUGGCCCAGCUCGGCGAAGUGCAGCCCAACUCCCGGCUGGAAAAAAACCGGGAAUUCCUUCCUCAGGGAUCACGGGAAAACGGGAAUUCCUUCCUCAGGGAUCAUGGGAAAACGGGAAUUCCUUCCUCAGGGAUCACGGGAAAACGGGAAUUCCUUCCUCAGGGGAUCACGGGAAAACGGGAAUUCUUCGGGGAUCCAGGGAAAAAAUUCCUCAGGGAUUCCUGGGAAAAAAUUCCUAAGGGAUCCCGGGAAAAAUUCCUCAGGGAUCCCGGGAAAACGGGAAUUCUUCGGGGAUCCAGGGAAAAUGGGAAUUCCUUCCUCAGGGGAUCACGGGAAAACGGGAAUUCUUUGGGGAUCCAGGGAAAAAAUUCCUCAGGGAUUCCUGGGAAAAAAUUCCUCAGGGAUUCCUGGGAAAAAUUCCUCAGGGGAUUCUGGGAAAACGGGAAUUCUUCAGGGAUCCCAGGAAAAUGGGAAUUCCUUCCUCAGGGAUCACGGGAAAACGGGAAUUCUUCGGGGAUCCAGGGAAAAAAUUCCUCAGGGAUUCCUGGGAAAACGGGAAUUCCUUCCUCAGGGGAUUCUGGAAAAACGGGAAUUCUUCGGGGAUUCUGGGAAAAAUUCCUCAGGGAUUCUGGGAAAAUUUCUUAUGGAUUCUGGGAAAAUGGGAAUUCCUCAGGGAUUCUGGGAAAAUGGAAAUUCCUUCCUCAGGGAUUCCGGGAAAAAUUCUUCAGGGAUUCUGGGAAAACGGGAAUUCUUCAGGGAUCCCGGGAAAAUGGAAAUUCCUUCCUCAGGGAUCACGGGAAAACGGGAAUUCCUUCCUCAGGGGAUCAUGGGAAAACAGGAAUUCUUUGGGGAUCCAGGGAAAAAAUUCCUCAGGGAUUCCUGGGAAAAAAUUCCUCAGGGAUUCCUGGGAAAAAUUCCUCAGGGGAUUCUGGGAAAACGGGAAUUCUUCAGGGAUCCCAGGAAAAUGGAAAUUCCUUCCUCAGGGAUCACGGGAAAACGGGAAUUCUUCGGGGAUCCAGGGAAAAAAUUCCUCAGGGAUUCCUGGGAAAACGGGAAUUCCUUCCUCAGGGGAUUCUGGAAAAACGGGAAUUCUUCGGGGAUUCUGGGAAAAAUUCCUCAGGGAUUCUGGGAAAAUUUCUUAUGGAUUCUGGGAAAAUGGGAAUUCCUCAGGGAUUCUGGGAAAAUGGAAAUUCCUUCCUCAG